This 254-nucleotide ribosomal RNA is filed under the name uncultured bacterium. RNAcentral describes it as "partial 16S ribosomal RNA". It matches the Rfam family "Bacterial small subunit ribosomal RNA", at positions 524 to 776 of the family's 1533-position model. The record is from RNAcentral.
UACGUAGGGGGCAAGCGUUGUCCGGAUUUAUUGGGCGUAAAGAGCUCGUAGGCGGCUCGGUAAGUCGGAUGUGAAACCUCCAGGCUCAACCUGGAGACGCCAUCUGAUACUGCCGUGGCUUGAGUCCGGUAGAGGAGCAGGGAAUUCCUGGUGUAGCGGUGAAAUGCGCAGAUAUCAGGAGGAACACCAGCGGCGAAGGCGCUGCUCUGGGCCGGUACUGACGCUGAGGAGUGAAAGCGUGGGGAGCGAACAGG